GGGGAAUUUUGGACAAUGGGCGCAAGCCUGAUCCAGCCAUGCCGCGUGAGUGAAGAAGGCCUUCGGGUUGUAAAGCUCUUUCGGACGGAAAGAAAUCGUGCAGGCUAAUACCCUGCGCGGAUGACGGUACCGUCAUAAGAAGCACCGGCUAACUACGUGCCAGCAGCCGCGGUAAUACGUAGGGUGCGAGCGUUAAUCGGAAUUACUGGGCGUAAAGCGUGCGCAGGCGGUUGAUUAAGACAGGCGUGAAAUCCCCGGGCUUAACCUGGGAACUGCGCUUGUGACUGGUCAGCUAGAGUACGGCAGAGGGGGGUGGAAUUCCACGUGUAGCAGUGAAAUGCGUAGAGAUGUGGAGGAACACCGAUGGCGAAGGCAGCCCCCUGGGCCGAUACUGACGCUCAUGCACGAAAGCGUGGGUAGCAAAC
RNAcentral lists this ribosomal RNA (425 nucleotides) under uncultured bacterium. RNAcentral's name for it is "bacterial SSU rRNA". It matches the Rfam family "Bacterial small subunit ribosomal RNA", at positions 356 to 773 of the family's 1533-position model. The record is from RNAcentral.